Long non-coding RNA from Bolinopsis microptera, 383 nucleotides. RefSeq lists it as uncharacterized. The record is from RefSeq and is a predicted model, not a curated record. NCBI's taxonomy places the organism in Eukaryota, Metazoa, Ctenophora, Tentaculata, Lobata, Bolinopsidae. The transcript is spliced from 3 exons.
AGAUUUACAUGGUUUUGACUUACAUCUCAAAACUUAUUUAAUUUAACUGUUACUAUACCUGCCGGCAGGUAUAGUAACAGUUAAAUUAAAUAAGUUUUGAGAUGUAAGUCAAACAGUAUUUCCCAGGAACAAUAUUUCAUCACAAAUGAACAAAUUGCUCCAAGAUACAUACAGUUCGAGCUCAUAUGAUUUUCUUCCUCCAAAGAGUAGUCGAAGAUUGAGAGCAUUCCUGCUAUCAAGAAACCUGUUAUCAAGAAGCCUGAUAUCAAAAAACCUGAUAUCAAGACAUGCAGCACUGUCAAAUCGCUCCAGUACCUUGGUCGAGUUAAAUCGUUUCUGCUCAGAUGUCCGCUGGAGUACUUCGUAAUGUUGUUCUAAGGAUG